CUACGGGUUGCUCCAGUAGGGAAUCUUAGACAAUGGGGGAAACCCUGAUCUAGCCAUGCCGCGUGAGUGAUGAAGGCCUUAGGGUUGUAAAGCUCUUUCGCUGGGGAAGAUAAUGACGGUACCCAGUAAAGAAACCCCGGCUAACUCCGUGCCAGCGAGCCGCGGUAAUACGGAGGGGGUUAGCGUUGUUCGGAAUUACUGGGCGUAAAGCGCGCGUAGGCGGGCUAUUAAGUCAGGGGUGAAAUCCCGGGGCUCAACCCCGGAACUGCCUUUGAUACUGGUAGUCUUGAGUUCGAGAGAGGUGAGUGGAAUUCCGAGUGUAGAGGUGAAAUUCGUAGAUAUUCGGAGGAACAUCAGUGGCGAAGGCGACUCACUGGCUCGAUACUGACGCUGAGGUGCGAAAGUGUGGGGAGCAAACAGGAUUAGAUACCCCUGUAGUC
This 440-nucleotide ribosomal RNA is filed under the name uncultured bacterium. RNAcentral describes it as "partial 16S ribosomal RNA". It matches the Rfam family "Bacterial small subunit ribosomal RNA", at positions 339 to 795 of the family's 1533-position model. The record is from RNAcentral.